Fundulus heteroclitus (mummichog) is the source of this 959-nucleotide long non-coding RNA. RefSeq lists it as uncharacterized. NCBI's taxonomy places the organism in Eukaryota, Metazoa, Chordata, Actinopteri, Cyprinodontiformes, Fundulidae. The transcript is spliced from 4 exons. The record is from RefSeq and is a predicted model, not a curated record.
CCAUGAAAACAUCAAGACAACGAAGAAGAGGACCCAUAACAUAUUUUAGAAUUAUUUAGAAUGUAAUAAAUAUACUCAAGAAAGAGAGAUGUUGUGUAGAGAAUUAGGCAGGAAUAAAAAUAAAUUAGAAACAAGGGAAUUGUUUGAGAGGUCAUCUGGGGAUGUAGCUUUUGGGAGUAUUUUUAGUUUUCUAAGAAGAACGGGUGUUUAGAGAGAAUCUAAUAGAUUGUCUGAUCCAUACUCCAUUCUGGAAGGUGGCGGUAAUGCACCUAUAAGUUGUUUGCCAACCGCCAUUAAAAAAAGAGAAGAAGAAGAAGAAGAAGAAGAAGAAGACCCACACAACGGCACAUGGUGGUGAAAAAGCCGUGCUCGCUAUUCCGAGGAGACCAGCUGUUCAACAGACUUCAUCUUCGCAGCAGAGGAAGGUCAGACCAAAAGUUGGGGAGUAACAAGAGGAGGGUGGAAACCCAGAUGAUGAUGAUCUUCUGGAAUGACUGGCUGAUGGAGGCGGAUGGCUGCUGCUCUUUCGCCAAGAUAAAAUACCAAAUGCUGCGCACUAUUUUGGGAAUUCUCAAAUGAUUGGCUCAGGAACCAGGAAGGAACACGGCCGGUGAGACUGGGACAAAUUUGAAUUUCUUGCAUGGACAACAUCCCACUGCUUGGCUUUUCUACCUCUCCGAUGAUUUAAUUCUUGCAUAGCGAGGACGCGUGAUCCUGCGGCUGCCUGUUCACCCUACAUACAACCUCUUUGUCGGAUACAUGGGAGUGUGGCAUCUUGCAGUCCCCUAUAUUUGGUUUAAUCUGAGUAUAUAGCUAUUGACAAGUUGAGCAGUAAAAGUUAGGAUUUAUACAGUUUUGGUGUUUUUCUUACCAGAUGCUGUAUCAUCAUUCCUGUGUUCAUAUCACUUUGAAAUGUUUUGUUGGUCAAUUUCAAAGUAAACAAACCAUUGCAAACUUUU